CCCCGACAUCCUUCCCUCCAAGAACUUCCCACCUUGCUCUUGGGGAGACUCGAACUCACAACCUCUCGGUUGAAAGUGGGGGUUGCCGGGAGGUAUAACCUCAGGGCAUUAUUAAGUUCAGCAUGAUGCGACGGUUUUAAUACAAAACCUGAGCAGAACAAAUAUCAUACAAGAUCUCAGGUAGUUUAAUAGCUUAUUUUCAUUGAAGAACAUUCAGGUAUAUCAAGAGUUUUACGUGUUACCUCUCUACUAAAAUAAAUGCACAACCAAUGCCACGUGAAGGCUGACCACGAAAGCCGGUACUCAGCUACGAACUCAGCUCGUGAACAAAACAGCUAACCAGUAGUUACAUAGCUCCAAGAUCAGUCAAAUUCCCAGAAAAUUGCAGCGAAAGAACAAAAAAAGGACCAGAUUUGUGCGUCUGUUCGUGAGUAAAGAAGCGGACUUGUGGUCAAAGGUGGUUGACGACUGAUUUAGAGUGGAGAUUUUUUGUUUUGGAGUGGGGAGGUCCCGUUGUCUUAUGUCUUCUAUGGAAAGCGUCAUUCUCUGUAUUCCUAGGGUCUAGGAUUUGAUCUUUAGCUUGGAGAAAAAUGAAGGAGAAGAUCGAAGCAGGGGAGGGCCUUGUGCCGCUUUUUUUAUCUUCGAUAGAGGAGUCCCUUUUUUUUUGUUUCCAAAUUAGUCAUUUUAUAGGUAGCGAUACAGUAAAGGGUAA
This 712-nucleotide long non-coding RNA is filed under the name Nicotiana benthamiana. Its description in RNAcentral is "long non-coding RNA (NBEN_LNC005319)". Lineage: Eukaryota; Viridiplantae; Streptophyta; Magnoliopsida; Solanales; Solanaceae. The record is from RNAcentral.